GAUGAACGCUGGCGGCGUGCCUAAUACAUGCAAGUCGAGCGAACAGACGAGGAGCUUGCUCCUCUGACGUUAGCGGCGGACGGGUGAGUAACACGUGGAUAACCUACCUAUAAGACUGGGAUAACUUCGGGAAACCGGAGCUAAUACCGGAUAAUAUAUUGAACCGCAUGGUUCAAUAGUGAAAGACGGUUUUGCUGUCACUUAUAGAUGGAUCCGCGCCGCAUUAGCUAGUUGGUAAGGUAACGGCUUACCAAGGCAACGAUGCGUAGCCGACCUGAGAGGGUGAUCGGCCACACUGGAACUGAGACACGGUCCAGACUCCUACGGGAGGCAGCAGUAGGGAAUCUUCCGCAAUGGGCGAAAGCUUGACGGAGCAACGCCGCGUGAGUGAUGAAGGUCUUCGGAUCGUAAAACUCUGUUAUUAGGGAAGAACAAAUGUGUAAGUAACUAUGCACGUCUUGACGGUACCUAAGCAGAAAGCCACGGCUAACUACGUG
This 497-nucleotide ribosomal RNA is filed under the name uncultured bacterium. RNAcentral describes it as "partial 16S ribosomal RNA". It matches the Rfam family "Bacterial small subunit ribosomal RNA", at positions 28 to 507 of the family's 1533-position model. The record is from RNAcentral.